UUUNANUGGGGGAACCCUGAUGGAGCGACGCCGCGUGGGGGAUGAAUGGCUUCGGCCCGUAAACCCCUGUCAUUUGCGAACAAACCUUUUCGUUGAACAGGCGAAAAGCUGAUUGUAGCGGAAGAGGAAGGGACGGCUAACUCUGUGCCAGCAGCCGCGGUAAUACAGAGGUCCCGAGCGUUGUUCGGAUUCACUGGGCGUAAAGGGUGCGUAGGUGGUCAGAUAAGUCUGAUGUGAAAUCUCGGAGCUUAACUCCGAAACUGCAUUGGAUACUAUCCGGCUGGAGGAUCGGAGGGGGGACUGGAAUUCUCGGUGUAGCAGUGAAAUGCGUAGAUAUCGAGAGGAACACCAGUGGCGAAGGCGAGUCCCUGGACGAUUCCUGACACUGAGGCACGAAAGCUAGGGGAGCAAACAGGAUUAGAUACCCUGGUAGUCCUAGCUGUAAACGGUGCAUAUUUGCUGUAAAAGGAAUCGACCCCUUUUGUGGCGAAGCUAACGCGAUAAAUAUGCCGCCUGGGAAGUACGGUCGCAAGAUUAAAACUCAAAAAAAUUGACGGA
RNAcentral lists this ribosomal RNA (558 nucleotides) under uncultured bacterium. Its description in RNAcentral is "bacterial SSU rRNA". It matches the Rfam family "Bacterial small subunit ribosomal RNA", at positions 366 to 917 of the family's 1533-position model. The record is from RNAcentral.